RNAcentral lists this long non-coding RNA (201 nucleotides) under Lathyrus oleraceus (garden pea). Its description in RNAcentral is "Pisum sativum (pea) long non-coding RNA (PSAT_LNC006149)". Lineage: Eukaryota; Viridiplantae; Streptophyta; Magnoliopsida; Fabales; Fabaceae. The record is from RNAcentral.
CCAGAUCUUCUAACCCACCAUCUCUGAAAUUCAACCUCGCAAACACAACAUUACCUGUUUCAGAAGCAAAAAUGCUUAAUGAAACCACCUCACCAUCAUCAUCACCAUCUCCUCAAUCCCCACCCUACUACGAACUCUCCUCUGAUACUGAACUAGAAACUACCCUUCCUACCCUUGAAGAAGCAAUCAAGGUUUUUACAG